RNAcentral lists this ribosomal RNA (327 nucleotides) under uncultured eukaryote. RNAcentral's name for it is "partial 18S ribosomal RNA". It matches the Rfam family "Eukaryotic small subunit ribosomal RNA", at positions 1470 to 1796 of the family's 1831-position model. The record is from RNAcentral.
CCCCUAGAUGUUCUGGGCCGCACGCGCGCUACACUGAACAGUUCAACAAGUCUUAACCUUGGCCGAUAGGUCUGGGUAAUCUUUGAACGCUGUUCGUGAUUGGGAUAGACCUUUGCAAUUAUGGAUCUUCAACGAGGAAUGCCUAGUAAGCGCAAGUCAUCAGCUUGCGUUGAUUACGUCCCUGCCCUUUGUACACACCGCCCGUCGCUCCUACCGAUUGAAUGGUCCGGUGAAGCGUUCGGACCGUGGCCUUUGGACGGUUCGCCGUCUGUUGGCUGCGGGAAGUUCGUUAAACCUUAUCAUUUAGAGGAAGGAGAAGUCGUAACA